AGUGAACGCUGGCGGUAGGCCUAACACAUGCAAGUCGAACGGCAGCACAGUAAGAGCUUGCUCUUACGGGUGGCGAGUGGCGGACGGGUGAGGAAUACAUCGGAAUCUACUUUUUCGUGGGGGAUAACGUAGGUAAACUUACGCUAAUGCCGCAUACGACCUACGGUUGAAAGCAGGGGUUCUUCGGACCUUGCGCGAUUGAAUGAGCCGAUGUCGGAUUAGCUAGUUGGCGGGGUAAAGGCCCACCAAGGCGACGAUCCGUAGCUGGUCUGAGAGGAUGAUCAGCCACACUGGAACUGAGACACGGUCCAGACUACUACGGGAGGCAGCAGUGGGGAAUAUUGGACAAUGGGCGCAAGCCUGAUCCAGCCAUACCGCGUGGGUGAAGAAGGACUUCGGGUUGUAAAGCCCUUUUGUUGGGAAAGAAAAGCAGCAGGUUAAUACCCCGCUGUUCUGACGGUACCCAAAGAAUAAGCACCGGCUAACUUCGUG
Molecule: ribosomal RNA, 492 nt
Filed under: uncultured bacterium
Lineage: Bacteria
Description: partial 16S ribosomal RNA
Rfam family: Bacterial small subunit ribosomal RNA
Source: RNAcentral